This 415-nucleotide ribosomal RNA is filed under the name uncultured bacterium. RNAcentral's name for it is "bacterial SSU rRNA". It matches the Rfam family "Bacterial small subunit ribosomal RNA", at positions 355 to 775 of the family's 1533-position model. The record is from RNAcentral.
UGGGGAAUCUUGCGCAAUGGACGAAAGUCUGACGCAGCAACGCCGCGUGGGGGAUGAAGCUUCUCGGAGUGUAAACCCCUUUCGACCCGGACGAAUGCCCGCAAGGGCUUGACGGUACGGGUAUAAGAAGCCCCGGCUAACUACGUGCCAGCAGCCGCGGUAAAACGUAGGGGGCCAGCGUUGCUCGGAAUUACUGGGCGUAAAGGGUCCGUAGGCGGUGUGGCAAGUCGGAAGUGAAAUCUCUGGGCUUAACCCAGAGGCUGCUCCCGAAACUGCCGUGCUAGAGUGCGAGAGAGGCGAGUGGAAUUGCGGGUGUAGCGGUGAAAUGCGUAGAUAUCCGCAGGAACAUCCGAGGCGAAAGCGGCUCGCUGGAUCGCAACUGACGCUGAGGGACGAAAGCUAGGGGAGCAAACAG